Molecule: long non-coding RNA, 1982 nt
Organism: Stylophora pistillata
Lineage: Eukaryota; Metazoa; Cnidaria; Anthozoa; Scleractinia; Pocilloporidae
Source: RefSeq, a predicted model, not a curated record
GUGACUUACGCUGGGGUGGACUGAUGCUAAGGUUUUCCAAUGUUGCCUAUCUCGUUGGUUAGGAUUUGUUGGAUUCUUUCAGACAGCGUUAGGAAGUAAGAGAAAAGAAGUGAUGGGAAAUGGACACCUAGCCUCACUGGAACACGUGGCCGCUUGUGCAUUGUUCUAUUACUCGCAGCGUGGUUAGUUCAAACAUAGACAAGCGAUUUGAGUCAGGUACACGCCAGCUUAGGGGGCUCUGCCUACCGGUUCUAAUCUCUUAUGUGCAAGAUUUGGGCCUCGGAUUGAUCGCUUAAUCGCUGAAAAUGAAAUCAUUGAUAACAAAUUUUACUGAAAAUUUGAACUUAAGGAUGGGAUAUAGCUUCGUGGUGAAAGUAACAAUGACUUCGGAUAAAGAGAUUCUAAUAUGGAUAGUGCACCCAAUCCAGGGCCUAAAACCCCACAGGAGGAUUUGGACAAAGAGGUUGAUAUCAGGUGUAGAUGGCUUUUCCUCUCGGAAAUAUUUACUGAGUGUUAAUGUUUAGUUGUUGAAAAUGGCGAAUUGGUAUUUUCUGCCAUUAUUUUAAUGAUUAAAAUAGUUAGACAAACCAAAGGCUUUCAUUUGUUUGUAUUAUCCAUAAAAUAUAUGGCACUUUUGUGUGGCUCAGCAUUGAAGUAAUCUUUUUGAGUCUCAGUGGCUUUAAGUGUGUUUUAGUAGUUUUAGCAGUUUUAGCAGCUAUUAUUUUACAGAUUGUAUUUAAUACCAGUGUAAGGCUGUUAUUUAUUUUUAUGGUCAAAUAAGCUAUGGCUUUGAAGUAACUGUCACGAACAGUGUCAUGAACAGUAAGUUUGUUAAUUAACAUGCUUUUUUGUGGUUUUUCCUGUCAUGAUUGUACUCAUUUCAUGCUUAUAAGGGUUUGAUGCAAUACUUGCAUACUUCAUACUCUACAAAAUAAUCAUAGAGCUGGAACAAACCAUUUGUCCAUGCGGAAGACACAGUAGUCUGAUGUUAGUGCACUGGACUAUUGGUUCAGAAGUUUGUGAUCAAGACCUUGCUGAGUUGUUGCAUUGUGCUCUUUGGUCAAACAAGUUACUCUCACAGUGCCUUUCUGCACCCAGAAGUAUAGAUGAGUACUGGUGACCUGUUAAGGAAGCCUGAAAUAAUGCUGGGGGGCAAGGGAGGAGGGGAGGGGGGUUUAACCUGCAAUAGACUUGAUUCCCAUCCAGUGAGAACUUGCAGUAUUCCUAGUCACUUUGUUUGACAGAAACUGGGAUAAGCUGGAGCUGGAUGGGCAGCAUGGCUCAGGUGUAGACCUUUUAAAAUUUUGUUUAUCUGGCAAAUUUUAAAUUUUACACUCCUAGUGUUAAAAUUUUUAACAAUCUAAUAUUUCUUUAUUUCCAUGUAUGCUGCUUUGAAGCUCUCUAACUUCUCAAACAAAUUACAUUUUACACUUGUGUUAUUUUAUAGAUUUGAAGAAAAUGUUCCUUUUCAAACAAUUUUAACAAAGGAAAGUUUGGUUCAUUGGUUUCAUUUGUGACACAUUUUGGUGACCAAUCUAUCGAAUCAUCUGUUUUGUGGCACAAAUCUCACAAGGUUACAUAGUGAAGAACAGAGGGAUUGAUUUUCAAGGUGUAUGUUAAGGAGAGGUGAAAAAAUAAAUUAAUGCUUUUCUGGGUUUGUGUUGUACUAAAAUUAUUUCUUCCUUUACAUCAGACAUGUACAUGACAGCUGAACAUUUGCCACCCACCCAACCAUGCCAAAAGUACAUUCUGCACUAAAAACAGCCCCUGUUUCAACUGAUGUACUUUCCCAAUCACAUGUCAUAGUGCUCUAUUUAUAUGCAACUGUCUGCACAGCAGCUUUGUUGACUAACAUGGCAAAUCACUUGUUCUCAAAGCCAUUUGAGCAGUUCACACCAUCCCAGUGGUAUCCUGGUCAGAUUUUAAAUCUGUUUGGGGGAGGGUCUGGGCCCUUGUACACAGGUUUUUCUGUCAAAAGGAGA